UAACAAAAAAAAAUUAUCUUAUCGUACACUACUUAAUCGAACUUUAUAUUUUCUUCUUAUUAUUUUUAUCUUUGUUUUUGUUUUGCUUUUAGCCUUGGGAGAUGAGUCUGGAGAGACAGAGCUAAGAGCAUACAUUAACAAGAGCUAUGAUAAGGCGGCGCUACCUAGGCCCAAUGUUACGGUUGAAAUCAUUACUUUCAAAAUAUUGAGUUUUGAAGUGAACGAGGAUGCGCACACAAUGGAAGUACACAGUUGGCUUGGUUACAGCUGGCACGAUCAACGCCUACAAUGGAAACCAGAAGACUACGGGGGAGUUUCCAGCCUGGGGAUGGAUCCUAGCGAAGUGUGGAGACCUGAUAUAUCAAUAUACAAUGGCGUUGCCAGCGCCCACAUGCCCAUCCAAUUUCCCUUU
Long non-coding RNA from Penaeus monodon (black tiger shrimp), 412 nucleotides. RefSeq lists it as uncharacterized. The record is from RefSeq and is a predicted model, not a curated record. The transcript is spliced from 4 exons. NCBI's taxonomy places the organism in Eukaryota, Metazoa, Arthropoda, Malacostraca, Decapoda, Penaeidae.